GAGGGGAGAGCAUAGUGGUAGAGCGCAUGCUUAGCGUGCAUGAGGUCCUAGGUUAUAUCCCUAGUACCUCCA
RNAcentral lists this transfer RNA (72 nucleotides) under Camelus bactrianus (Bactrian camel). It matches the Rfam family "tRNA". Rfam says of the family: Transfer RNA (tRNA) molecules are approximately 80 nucleotides in length. Lineage: Eukaryota; Metazoa; Chordata; Mammalia; Artiodactyla; Camelidae. The record is from Rfam by way of RNAcentral. RNAcentral also lists the same sequence under 1 other name.